This 301-nucleotide ribosomal RNA is filed under the name uncultured bacterium. RNAcentral's name for it is "partial 16S ribosomal RNA". It matches the Rfam family "Bacterial small subunit ribosomal RNA", at positions 509 to 807 of the family's 1533-position model. The record is from RNAcentral.
CAGUCGCCGCGGUAAUACGGAGGGGGCUAGCGUUGUUCGGAAUUACUGGGCGUAAAGCGCACGUAGGCGGCGAUUUAAGUCAGAGGUGAAAGCCCGGGGCUCAACCCCGGAACUGCCUUUGAGACUGGAUUGCUAGAAUCUUGGAGAGGCGGGUGGAAUUUCGAGUGUAGAGGUGAAAUUCGUAGAUAUUCGGAAGAACACCAGUGGCGAAGGCGGCCCGCUGGACAAGUAUUGACGCUGAGGUGCGAAAGCGUGGGGAGCAAACAGGAUUAGAUACCCCCGUAGUCCCUGUCUCUUAUAC